UACGUAGGCAGCAAGCGUUGUUCGGAGUUACUGGGCGUAAAGGGCGUGUAGGCGGCUGGAUAAGUGUGGUGUGAAAUCUCUCGGCUCAACUGGGAGGGUGCGCUACAAACUGUCUGACUAGAGUGCGGGAUGGGAAAGUGGAAUUCCUGGUGUAGCGGUGAAAUGCGUAGAUAUCAGGAGGAACACCGGUGGUGUAGACGGCUUUCUGGUCCGUAACUGACGCUGAUACACGAAAGCGUGGGGAGCGAACAGG
Molecule: ribosomal RNA, 253 nt
Filed under: uncultured bacterium
Lineage: Bacteria
Description: partial 16S ribosomal RNA
Rfam family: Bacterial small subunit ribosomal RNA
Source: RNAcentral